RNAcentral lists this ribosomal RNA (394 nucleotides) under uncultured Alphaproteobacteria bacterium. Its description in RNAcentral is "bacterial SSU rRNA". It matches the Rfam family "Bacterial small subunit ribosomal RNA", at positions 9 to 419 of the family's 1533-position model. Lineage: Bacteria; Pseudomonadati; Pseudomonadota; Alphaproteobacteria. The record is from RNAcentral.
GAGUUUGAUCAUGGCUCAGAACGAACGCUGGCGGCAGGCUUAACACAUGCAAGUCGAACGAGCUGAGUCCUUCGGGACUCUAUGCUAGUGGCGCACGGGUGAGUAACGCGUGGGAACGUACCCUUUAGUACGGAAUAACCCAGGGAAACUUGGGCUAAUACCGUAUGACCCCUCCGGGGGAAAGAUUUAUCGCUAAAGGAUCGGCCCGCGUCAGAUUAGGUAGUUGGUGAGGUAAUGGCUCACCAAGCCUACGAUCUGUAGCUGGUCUGAGAGGAUGAUCAGCCACACUGGGACUGAGGCACGGCCCAGACUCCUACGGGAGGCAGCAGUGGGGAAUAUUGGACAAUGGGGGAAACCCUGAUCCAGCCAUGCCGCGUGAGUGAAGAAGGCCUUC